Long non-coding RNA from Sciurus carolinensis (gray squirrel), 457 nucleotides. RefSeq lists it as uncharacterized. The record is from RefSeq and is a predicted model, not a curated record. Lineage: Eukaryota; Metazoa; Chordata; Mammalia; Rodentia; Sciuridae. The transcript has 3 exons.
GCUCAAAUCCUCCUCCCCCUUCUCCCUCCCCAACCAAAGCUCUUCCCCCUCAAACUCCCCACCGUGUCGGCUUCCUCUCCCGCCCUCUCCAGUUCCUCCUCCCUGACCCUGACCCCACCUUACCCACCUUCAUGUUCCUUCUCAAGCUCGCACAGCCUUGCAGGCUCUAGCCGACACUGGGGGAUCACCAGUCAGCUCCAAAGGGGGAUCCUGGACGGGUGCCGGGUGCCGGCGCAAGUCCGGGGGACAGUGAACAGGGCCAGUUCCCGACUGGAACCGGCUCCGAGGACAGCAAAAUGCAAGACUGGGUGCAGAGGCUCGUCUUGGACACACACACGCGGCACGGAUGGGAAAUUGUGGCUGGAGAGGAAAGACCGCUCUCCGGAUGGACCAUGGAUGGAUGCUGGGAGUGUUUGUGCACGACUGUAAUCCCAGAGGCCCAGGAGGCUGAGGCAGG